CUUUUGACCUCGGAUCAGGUAGGGAUACCCGCUGAACUUAAGCAUAUCAAUAAGCGGAGGAAAAGAAACCAACAGGGAUUGCCCUAGUAACGGCGAGUGAAGCGGCAACAGCUCAAAUUUGAAAUCUGGCUCUUUUAGAGUCCGAGUUGUAAUUUGCAGAGGGCGCUUUGGCUUUGGCAGCGGUCCAAGUUCCUUGGAACAGGACGUCACAGAGGGUGAGAAUCCCGUACGUGGUCGCUGGCUAUUGCCGUGUAAAGCCCCUUCGACGAGUCGAGUUGUUUGGGAAUGCAGCUCUAAAUGGGAGGUACAUUUCUUCUAAAGCUAAAUAUUGGCCAGAGACCGAUAGCGCACAAGUAGAGUGAUCGAAAGAUGAAAAGCACUUUGGAAAGAGAGUCAAACAGCACGUGAAAUUGUUGAAAGGGAAGCGCUUGCAGCCAGACUUGCUUACAGUUGCUCAUCCGGGUUUCUACCCGGUGCACUCUUCUGUAGGCAGGCCAGCAUCAGUUUGGGCGGUAGGAUAAAGGUCUCUGUCACGUACCUCCUUUCGGGGAGGCCUUAUAGGGGAGACGACAUACUACCAGCCUGGACUGAGGUCCGCGCA
RNAcentral lists this ribosomal RNA (601 nucleotides) under Alternaria sp. Utah 2. Its description in RNAcentral is "eukaryotic LSU rRNA". It matches the Rfam family "Eukaryotic large subunit ribosomal RNA", at positions 1 to 601 of the family's 3401-position model. Lineage: Eukaryota; Fungi; Ascomycota; Dothideomycetes; Pleosporales; Pleosporaceae. The record is from RNAcentral.